RNAcentral lists this ribosomal RNA (301 nucleotides) under uncultured bacterium. RNAcentral's name for it is "partial 16S ribosomal RNA". It matches the Rfam family "Bacterial small subunit ribosomal RNA", at positions 509 to 809 of the family's 1533-position model. The record is from RNAcentral.
CAGUCGCCGCGGUAAUACGAAGGGUGCAAGCGUUACUCGGAAUUACUGGGCGUAAAGCGUGCGUAGGUGGUGGUUUAAGUCCGUUGUGAAAGCCCCGGGCUCAACCUGGGAAUUGCAGUGGAUACUGGGUCACUAGAGUGUGGUAGAGGAUAGUGGAAUUUCCGGUGUAGCAGUGAAAUGCGUAGAGAUCGGAAGGAACAUCUGUGGCGAAGGCGACUAUCUGGGCCAACACUGACACUGAGGCACGAAAGCGUGGGGAGCAAACAGGAUUAGAUACCCCUGUAGUCCCUGUCUCUUAUAA